Molecule: ribosomal RNA, 256 nt
Filed under: uncultured bacterium
Lineage: Bacteria
Description: partial 16S ribosomal RNA
Rfam family: Bacterial small subunit ribosomal RNA
Source: RNAcentral
UAAUACGGAGGACCCGAGCGUUAUCCGGAUUUAUUGGGUUUAAAGGGUGCGUAGGCGGUUUUAUAAGUUAGAGGUGAAAGCUCGAUGCUCAACAUCGAAAAUGCCUCUGAUACUGUAGGACUAGAGUGUAGUUGCGGAAGGCGGAAUGUGUAGUGUAGCGGUGAAAUGCUUAGAUAUUACACAGAACACCGAUUGCGAAGGCAGCUUUCCAAGCUAUUACUGACGCUGAGGCACGAAAGCGUGGGUAGCGAACAGG